UUUCUUAUACCCUUUUUUUUCGAUUUUUUUUAUAAUGAUAAAUGGAUAAUAAUGAAGAACAAGAAUAUAGACAAUUUACCACAUUUCGGCCCUUUUUUUUUGGAAUAUGCUCUAAUUACCACUUGAUAUGCACUAACUUUUGAGAAUUAUGCAUUUCCUUCAAAAUUCCUGAAACAACUUUGUUAACUUUUGGAAUAUUAAUUCUUUUGUGACUCAGAG
Molecule: long non-coding RNA, 219 nt
Filed under: Lathyrus oleraceus (garden pea)
Lineage: Eukaryota; Viridiplantae; Streptophyta; Magnoliopsida; Fabales; Fabaceae
Description: Pisum sativum (pea) long non-coding RNA (PSAT_LNC039734)
Source: RNAcentral